This 30-nucleotide non-coding RNA is filed under the name Mus musculus (house mouse). The record is from RNAcentral. Lineage: Eukaryota; Metazoa; Chordata; Mammalia; Rodentia; Muridae.
UGCUUUUCAUGAGGCCUUCUUGUCCUGAAU